Molecule: ribosomal RNA, 468 nt
Filed under: uncultured bacterium
Lineage: Bacteria
Description: partial 16S ribosomal RNA
Rfam family: Bacterial small subunit ribosomal RNA
Source: RNAcentral
GACGAACGCUGGCGGCGUGCUUAACACAUGCAAGUCGAACGGAAAGGCCCUGCUUUUGUGGGGUGCUCGAGUGGCGAACGGGUGAGUAACACGUGAGUAACCUGCCCUUGACUUUGGGAUAACUUCAGGAAACUGGGGCUAAUACCGGAUAGGAGCUCCUGCUGCAUGGUGGGGGUAGGAAAGUUUCGGCGGGUGGGGAUGGACUCGCGGCUUAUCAGCUUGUUGGUGGGGGAGUGGCUUACCAAGGCUUUGACGGGUAGCCGGCCUGAGAGGGUGACCGGCCACAUUGGGACUGAGAUACGGCCCAGACUCCUACGGGAGGCAGCAGUGGGGAAUAUUGCACAAUGGGCGGAAGCCUGAUGCAGCAACGCCGCGUGCGGGAUGACGGCCUUCGGGUUGUAAACCGCUUUCGCCUGUGACGAAGCGUGAGUGACGGUAAUGUGUAAAGAAGCACCGGCUAACUACGUG